AUGAGAUUUCAGGUUUAUGUUACAGCAGUUUGCUUUACCCUAAACAUAUACCUAUACUUAAGUUACACUUAACUUCUUAACUUCUCUAAACUUUACUUGCCUCUUCAGGAUCAUUCUAGCACCUACCUUCCAUAGGGCUGUUAAGAGGAUUAGAAGAGAAGCAAUGAAUGCAAACUACACUACUGCACAGUGCCUGGCAAAAACUGGAAUGAACCAUGUGAGUCCACAACUGGUUUGGCAUGUGCAGCAGAGUUGUUAUCUAAGUGCGGCCUGAGGGACCAGAGCCUGACUGCAGAGCAUGUGGGAGAGAAUGGGAGCAGGAGAGUAGAGACUGACUGUGAGCAACUCUUGUGAGGAGUUUCUGCUGCAAAGAGGGGAAAGAAAUGGGGGAGAGCACUCAGCAAGAAAAGGUGGGAGAAGAAUCUGCUCCAAGGGGAAGAGAUGGGAUCAAUUCACCAACAGAAAAUGUUGUCUAACCAGGAAGCAAGAUGGCCCUUCCCAGGAUGCUGAUGAGCCACCAGCAUAUUCUUUGUUUUUCCUCAUCCUGUGGGGAAGACCACUCAGCCUUCCCAACAGAACUCUCAAUUAAUACAUCGAAUCUUUGCUAUUUUUAUGUCAAGAGAUAUGCAGAAAGUACUUUAACUCAGGUCAAAAAAGCUCAAAUUAAUUUCACAGACACCUUUUAAAUGGAUUGCAAAUGGAAGAGGAAUGGAAAGGGGGUAUAUGACCUUCUAGAUAAAGUGGCAGACCCAGUUCCAGCCCUCACUGUCAAAUCCUAUUUCAUCUAGAUAGGUUCAAUUCAACUGGGUGUAGUUUGGUAUGGUUAUCUUGUUGGGUCCCCCAAUAAUGGGUCCGUGAUUAAAGGAGUG
This is a long non-coding RNA of Mustela erminea (ermine), 869 nucleotides long. RefSeq lists it as uncharacterized. The transcript has 4 exons. NCBI's taxonomy places the organism in Eukaryota, Metazoa, Chordata, Mammalia, Carnivora, Mustelidae. The record is from RefSeq and is a predicted model, not a curated record.